RNA transcript from Ceratina calcarata, 6171 nucleotides. It is a transcript of the gene named casein kinase I, with no coding region annotated. NCBI's taxonomy places the organism in Eukaryota, Metazoa, Arthropoda, Insecta, Hymenoptera, Apidae. The transcript is spliced from 10 exons. The record is from RefSeq and is a predicted model, not a curated record.
CGCUUGCGUCCGUAGUCCGUGCUGGUCCGUGCCUCCGUGAUUCUUCGUCGUGUUCGUUGUUCGUCGUUGUGGUAGUCACGGUCGGGAGUUCGCGAGUCAGCGUGCGUCAGUGAGCGUGCACCAGUAGAAUAGGACUUAUUGAAUAACAUUAAAUCAUAGAAAGUGAGCGAAAGUGAUACGUAUAUACGUAGGAAGAAAGACACACGGGAGAGUGCCAUGAUAAAUUUGGUUGAACGUCGCGCGACUUCGAUAAAGAGUUGGUAAUAAGAGAAAAAGGUGCGCUCGCGACGAAGAGUGUCGCAGUGAAGUGUAUCACGAUUGGUGAAUCUUAGACGGCCAUAAUUGUGCGCCAUUCGGUCUCCGGUGCGGAUCCGCGCAGCGAAAGGGCAGAUGCCCUUACGCGGUUCGUGCUCCCAUUGGUGGGUACGCGCUGAUCUAUCCGGAUCGACAUACUUGGCGAGAUCCGGUAGUGUUCGCCGUGGCUUAUUUACGGGUUCAGUAAAUUCGCCGAAUAUAAGGACGAACGGCCAGCCGCCACCUGCGAGGGCCGAAUCUCUUAACAGCCCGUUGCUGGUUAGUAGUCGUAGUCGGUGUGAUUUCUGUCUAGCAGCAACGGUAGCAGCAAUCGCAGCGCCGUCAACAACACGACGACAACGACAACGACGACAGCAGCGCCAUCGUCAGCGCGACCGCCAUCGCAGCGACGGAGAAACAGUAUUCCUUUGAGGAGAGAAAGAAGAAAUGCCUGUAGGUCUGCGAUCGGUGACGCGACCAAAGAUGGAGGCCCUGUCCAGUUUGUAACACGGCAGCCAGGUCUCGUUUUAAAAGCGCACCAACGGGAGCCCACCGAGAGCCCGCUCCUCGAGUCGGCUGCCUUAAACUCGCCUUUUGCCCCGUGCUACUUUUCUUCGUGAGCCCCGCGAGGCUGGACGAUGGAGCUACGUGUUGGGAAUAAGUACCGGCUCGGACGGAAAAUCGGGAGCGGCUCCUUCGGCGACAUUUAUCUAGGUACCAAUAUCUCCACCGGCGAGGAAGUCGCCAUUAAACUAGAAUGUAUAAAAACGCGGCAUCCACAAUUACAUAUAGAAUCAAAAUUCUACAGGAUGAUGCAAAGUGGUGUUGGUAUACCAACUAUAAAAUGGUGUGGCUCAGAAGGUGACUACAAUGUAAUGGUGAUGGAACUACUUGGCCCCUCACUGGAGGAUUUGUUCAAUUUUUGUCAAAGAAGAUUUUCUCUGAAAACAGUGUUACUUCUCGCUGAUCAGUUGAUAAGUAGAACGGAUUAUAUUCACAGUCGCAACUUUAUCCAUCGAGAUAUCAAGCCGGAUAAUUUCUUGAUGGGCUUGGGUAAGAAGGGAAAUCUCGUAUAUAUUAUAGACUUCGGUUUAGCUAAAAAAUACCGCGAUGGCCGUACUCACAAGCACAUACCGUAUCGAGAAAACAAGAAUUUAACAGGAACAGCCAGAUACGCGAGUAUAAAUACACAUCUGGGAAUUGAACAAUCGCGGCGGGACGAUCUCGAAUCGUUAGGAUACGUUCUCAUGUACUUCAACAGAGGUAGCUUACCCUGGCAAGGUUUGAAAGCGGCGACUAAAAGACAAAAGUACGAACGUAUCUCCGAAAAGAAAAUGUCCACACCUGUAGAAGAACUGUGCAAGGGUUAUCCCGUAGAGUUUGCGUCAUACCUGAGGUAUUGUCGAGGACUGCGAUUCGAGGAAAGACCCGAUUAUUCGUAUCUCCGACAACUCUUCCGGACGUUGUUCCACGGACAGGGUUUCACCUACGACUACGUAUUCGAUUGGAAUAUGAUGAAAUUUGGCAAUAUGAGGCAACAAACUUUGUCCUCGACACAACAAACACCGAUGCAGCCGCAACACACGAACGCGGCGCUGCCUUCUGGGACCAAUAACGAUCAGGAACAUCGAUCCAGGCCCUAUACACGGCAGUGUAUGCCAAACAUAUCAAAGGUAGCGGUGGGCCAGACCGUAGGUGGAACGACCACGAAUCUGAGAAACAUGCGGCAGAAACGCGAAGCGAUAGAAGCUCUUCGCGAUCAGGACAAUCAGGAGAGGGAUCUUCAAGCGUCGGGCACGGGAGGCCAGGAGCGAAGGGUCAGUAUGAGGUCGCACCGUAGGGAUGCAAUUGCUGGAGAGAUGCAACCGAAGACCAAGUAACCGAAAGCUAAGACACUAAUUCUAAAUCGCAAAAAUAGGCAAAGAGGGGGCGAAAGUAAUCUCCUGUGCCACGGUAACGAACACCGGCGCAAAAAAACUGAAAAGUCGUGGAUCAAAAAGCAUAGAGAAAACGAAAAUCGUGCAAAACGAAACAAAAACAAAUAACUAAAAGAACAGCAGGAAGGCGUGUUCGCUUUGCGAUCCUUCUCUCCGACCUCUCUCGGUAGCCCUGUCGCGCGAGCCUCGGAAUUAUAAAGCCUCUCGCUUCUCGAAUCCUUUGCUUUCGAGCGUUCGGUUCUACCACGUCUUGUACACCACAUCAGACACCACACGAUAGACUGCGUAUUCUCUCGCCUUAUCUCGAAUCAAAGAUUUGCUCCCGACACUUCGUUCAUCCAUUUUCAAAAUGAUCGACUUCUGCUUUCGUAUCGUCAUCCGUGGAAAGGAGGAGACGUCCGUCGAACGAGACACGCGACUCCUUCGUGGAACCGACGAUUUCUUGAAUGGGAAAGAGAAAGGAACAAGAACGACGACUCGCGACUAUGAAACGUGUGUAAAAAAAAAGCGGACGCCGAGACAGGAAAUAGAUGUAAAGAGUCGGUGAUUAAAAUUCUGUUGAGAAAACUGCGCAGGGAAUGAACUGGACAAAGAGAGACGGAGAAACGGGCUGAACACCAGAGAGGAGGAGAGACAGAGGAGGAGAGAGCAAAGGUCUCGGUCGUGUUUCGCGAUGCGCUAACGUCCGUAUUUCGUGUGUCUUAUUCCAAAAGCACCAAUGAAACGGCCUCAUCGGAUUUGACGAGCAGUCAACACAAGUGAAUCAACUCUUCUUCUUACACUCGUCUUCGUCGUCACCAUCUCUCUUUCGAUAAUGUCGACAAGAAUGAUCAUCGCGGGCAAUGUCAUCAUUAUAAUGACCAAUUCGAUGAGAGACGUCAGCCGAAUUCUAUCCAAAGAUCGGAACGAUCUUUUUAAACUAAAAGUGGAAUUCGUAACUCGUGGAGCUUCUCGUCGAUUGGUGCAUCCAUAGGAGCACGAUCGUUAAUGAGAAAUAGCUUCGGACGAAAUGUUAGAUCGAAGCGGUGAAGAAGACGUGCUUGACUUUACCAAAGCUGAAAAGACGCCAUCCGAUGAAAGGCAAAUCUUGGUGUCCGAGUCAAUCACGAAGCUGACGAUCUUGAAACGUGUGCUGCGAUAUGAUAAUUCGCGAACGAACUCGUUGCACCGAGAGGAUCCUUCCACGAGGCGUUGUUUAGAGAUAGAAGAACGAUGCGCUGUAUGGAGUUUUAAUGAUCUUGAGGAUUAAUUGCGAGUGUACAGUACGCGAAUUCGAUUAUGGUACAUAUGGAUAAUUUUCGUCGCUGUGAUUUUGAGAAACUAAGCGAAAAUUGUUUGUAUUCUUGGAGACCAUGCGUCCUUCUGUCAGAUACCCUUUCGCCUAAAGGAGUAUUCCCACUUACAAUAUUUGCAAUGGACAGCUGUAAGAGACGAGCGACCAGUAACGUUUUAAGGGGCUUCGAAGGCAGCGAGCACAUGAAAAUCAGUGCCAUAGUCGGAAAUCAGCGGGAUCCGCUGGGGCACCCAGCUUUUACAUACUUUUCUCUAUACUUCGCACUUCCGACUACGGCACUAAUAGGUCACUCGUUCCCUAGGACUGUCCCUUGCGAAUAUCGUAAAUCGGAAUAGUUCUUGAGACUCCCUUUCGGAUUAGGCUCGAGUCUCUGGUCCUUAGGUUUACGAUCGACGUGGAUCGGAGGAACCGGCGAUCGAGCGCACUGUAUAAAACGUGUAGAUUAUUCUCCUCAUCCUAAAGCACGAUUUGUACAUAGACAAAAUCGGCAUCGGAGACUGGAAGACGGGUCUCGGACGAAAAUUGCGAACGCGCAAAACCAGCCGGAGAGAACCGCGAAAGUCAAGUCGAACCGUUCGCACGAUCCGAUUACCUGUGAGACCAACUCGAAGGAGACUGCUCCGAGUCAGGAUCCAUUGCGUUUGCGCUCUCGACGGUCGUACAGAACCUGUAUAUAGCGGGAUUAUUUGCCGAACUGCAGAGAAAAGAGAUCAGACGACUAAAGCUGUAAGGUUGAUGAAAAAAAGCACGAGCGGCUAACUGAUCGACUAAGCGUCUAGGCUACCCACGGAUUUAAUCGUCGAGUUUGUAGUCCGUUUGGCGGAAGUAUGUGGUGGCGAACGCCUAUAAUAUCCGGAACGGCGAGCGUAAACGAGUCCGAGUGUGUUGUUCAAUUGUGCUAAUCGGAUCUUUCCUUUCUAAGGACCCUCUCUUCGUUCUUUCCUUGGAGUCGAGUUCUCGCUAUAGACUUAAAAAAGAAAAAGAACGAAUAUAACAUCGACGCUUUUCACCACACGCGUCUUUAAAGUUUUUCUAAGUCGCGUGUGUUGUGCGUGUACGAUGUUCGAGGAUGGCAAGAGAGCGUACAAUUUGAGAGAGAGAGAAAAAAAUAAUUUAAUCCGAGAAACAGCCCUGCGCUUGAUCGAAAUACACGGUUUGAAAAAAAAGAUGAUAGCAGAGAAAGUAACGUGGUAUUGUUAUUGCGUAUGAGCGACGAGAAAGAAAAAGAGAACGAAGUAUAAAUUUGCGGAUAUUUAAUCUAUCAUUCGUGGCUACGAUCGUCGACCCACUGGCACGCUACUUUUUCCUCCUUAAGAGGAAUUUUUUUCUUUUUGUACGAGAUAAUCGUCGUACUUCCUCCCUCCUCCCGGUGGCGAUUUCCGGUCGGAGGAACGAAGGAAUUCUCCAGUGGGUCGAUCGGGAAUAAUGAAAAUUAAGCUUGCAAAUAUCUCAGCAUUCUCGAUGUGAGUUCGUUAACUCCUAAACUGAAGUGCAAUUGUAAAAAAAAAAGAAGAAAAACAAGGAAAAGAAAAAAUCGAUGAUCGUCGUUGUCCGUUUGCUUGUUCGUCUAUCAGUUAUUAUCAGUGUAACCACAAAUGCAGCGAGCAUUGCGUGAAUUGUACCAAGUUUCUUUUCCGGUGUUCGAAGUAACUUCCUUUUCUUUUUUCGUCUUCUUCUUUUUUGGUAGCCGGGCGCACGUUGCUUCGAAGUUAAUCCUUUAUGUAACGGGCGUAGAUCUGUGCGGACGGCACCAUGAACGACGGAGACGCGCGAUUUCACGGGUGGCAGGAAAUAAUAAUCAAAAUAAUAGGCAGCUAUUUAAUAAACGCCGAAUUCUCUGGAGAUACCGAGUAGCGCAGCGUACGAUGGUGCAUCGAGCAAACAACGUUUCUACGUGUUUAACCGAUUUUAAUACUUGUACCCUUAUCGAACCGUAGGAUAGUGAUUCUUAAUCUGCGACGUGUAAUCAUGUAUUUUUUGAAGUUCGAACGGAAGAAACAAACUGCUGGUCUGUAAUUAAUUUUUUAUACACGUAACACGAUGCGAGGAGAUACAGUAUCUCUUUGAGAGAAGCGAAAAUGAUGGAUUGUCCGGUUUACUUGUCACAUUCACCUUUCUUUCCUCCUCUCUCUUUUUUUUACUUACAACAUAUCGUUUCAUUUUCGUCGAGUGGUUGCGAAACGAUUAAGAAUCGCUGGCAUAAAGGGUUAAUUUGAAAAGAAAUGCCACGCUCGUAGCGUCGACCGCGAAAGCCGGCGCGAAUAGUCGAGCGUGUACGAGAGUCGAGUCAAAAUGCAACGUGUGUCUGAUCAGUUCUCUGAACGUCUCCUUCCGUACAGGCAGUCUGAUUUCGCGUUUUUCUCCGCCACUUUUAUGUUCACUGUAGGAAUUCGUGUAAUUACCGAUUAGGAAGAGCCGAAAACGAAACUGUUUGUUUUAGACCGGAAAUGGCGACGGCCGGGGAGCCCUGGUGAAACGGAUCCGUGGCUCGUCUCAAAUAUUUUCGGAGAAUAACGAGUUUUCUUUCAGCGACGAGCGUCGUUCGCCGUUUCUCGGCGCUCCCCGCCGGUCGCUCGCCAAAUUCUAGUUAAAUAAUAAAAAAAAAGAAGAAACGAGGCAUUUUUUAAAUUAAACGAGAUAAACGAA